GCAGUUGUGGCCGAGUGGUUAAGGUGAUGGACUAGAAAUCCAUUGGGGUCUCCCCGCACAGGUUCGAAUCCUGUCGACUGCG
Molecule: transfer RNA, 82 nt
Filed under: Ixodes scapularis (black-legged tick)
Lineage: Eukaryota; Metazoa; Arthropoda; Arachnida; Ixodida; Ixodidae
Rfam family: tRNA
About the family: Transfer RNA (tRNA) molecules are approximately 80 nucleotides in length.
Source: Rfam by way of RNAcentral